AUUGAACGCUGGCGGCAGGCUUAACACAUGCAAGUCGAACGAGUGGCGGACGGGUGAGUAAUGUAUGGGAACGUGCCCGAUGGAGGGGGAUAACUACUGGAAAGAGUAGCUAAUACCGCAUACCAUCAGAUGGGCCCAGAUGGGAUUAGCUAGUUGGUGGGGUAACGGCUCACCAAGGCGACGAUCCGUAGCUGGUCUGAGAGGAUGACCAGCCACACUGGGACUGAGACACGGUCCAGACUCCUACGGGAGGCAGCAGUGGGGAAUAUUGCACAAUGGGCGCAAGCCUGAUGCAGCCAUGCCGCGUGUAUGAAGAAGGCCUUCGGGUUGUAAAGUACUUUCAGCAGGGAGGCGUUAUCCGCAGAAUAAGCACCGGCUAACUCCGUGCCAGCAGCCGCGGUAAUAC
RNAcentral lists this ribosomal RNA (406 nucleotides) under uncultured bacterium. RNAcentral's name for it is "partial 16S ribosomal RNA". It matches the Rfam family "Bacterial small subunit ribosomal RNA", at positions 30 to 526 of the family's 1533-position model. The record is from RNAcentral.